RNAcentral lists this ribosomal RNA (618 nucleotides) under Oceanobacillus sp. RNAcentral's name for it is "bacterial SSU rRNA". It matches the Rfam family "Bacterial small subunit ribosomal RNA", at positions 262 to 871 of the family's 1533-position model. The record is from RNAcentral. Lineage: Bacteria; Bacillati; Bacillota; Bacilli; Caryophanales; Bacillaceae.
GGCUCACCAAGGCGACGAUGCGUAGCCGACCUGAGAGGGUGAUCGGCCACACUGGGACUGAGACACGGCCCAGACUCCUACGGGAGGCAGCAGUAGGGAAUCUUCCGCAAUGGACGAAAGUCUGACGGAGCAACGCCGCGUGAGUGAUGAAGGUUUUCGGAUCGUAAAACUCUGUUGUCAGGGAAGAACAAGUACGAUAGUAACUGAUCGUACCUUGACGGUACCUGACCAGAAAGCCACGGCUAACUACGUGCCAGCAGCCGCGGUAAUACGUAGGUGGCAAGCGUUGUCCGGAAUUAUUGGGCGUAAAGCGCUCGCAGGCGGUUCUUUAAGUCUGAUGUGAAAUCUUGCGGCUCAACCGCAAACGUGCAUUGGAAACUGGAGGACUUGAGUGCAGAAGAGGAGAGUGGAAUUCCACGUGUAGCGGUGAAAUGCGUAGAGAUGUGGAGGAACACCAGUGGCGAAGGCGACUCUCUGGUCUGUAACUGACGCUGAGGAGCGAAAGCGUGGGGAGCGAACAGGAUUAGAUACCCUGGUAGUCCACGCCGUAAACGAUGAGUGCUAGGUGUUAGGGGGUUUCCGCCCCUUAGUGCUGAAGUUAACGCAUUAAGCACUCCG